CUUGCCAACCGUGGUUCCAUCUCCCCUUCCCCCAGUGGAGACAUACCCUUAGAAGGCUGAUGUACUGACAUCAAGAAACAUAACCACUUCUGUCCAUGCGGCUCUGAGCAGGCCCUGCUACCCUGGAAAUCUCAAUUUGGCCAUUCCCACCUGCUUCCUGCUGCAGUUAUGGCUUCUCUAAUUCUCCUCCAGCUAUUCAAAGUUUGAAGAAUGGCAUGCUGAAAGGGGGCAACCCAGUAGUGCUCAGAUACAGAUUUACAAAAGAAACUUGCAAACAUUUCAUACAUGUGAGGAAGAAAAAUGACAUCAGAAAGGAAAGAAAGCAGAGCACCAAAUACUAGCAAAAUGAAGAGCUAAUUCCUUUUCAUUCUAUGUAAGCAUGUAUGAAAUUCAGAGAAUCACAAACAAGCCUAUGCUGACCACAGUAAUGUAACAAGGAAAUCAUAUGGAAAACAGAUAUUACUUUUAAAACUUAUUUGUAAAGAAUCAUAUAUUAUAAGAAAUAUUCAUAAAAAGGUGCUUUAAUUAUCUUCCUGUUAAAUAAGGAAUACAACAUCCCAUA
Long non-coding RNA from Trachemys scripta elegans, 562 nucleotides. RefSeq lists it as uncharacterized. The transcript has 3 exons. The record is from RefSeq and is a predicted model, not a curated record. Lineage: Eukaryota; Metazoa; Chordata; Testudines; Emydidae.